This 400-nucleotide long non-coding RNA is filed under the name Bos taurus (domestic cattle). RNAcentral's name for it is "long non-coding RNA NONBTAT021637". Lineage: Eukaryota; Metazoa; Chordata; Mammalia; Artiodactyla; Bovidae. The record is from RNAcentral.
CUUUUUUCAGAAGGAAAACCAGUUACUCUCUUUAAACUGAAUCUGGGUAGCAAAGAAGUUCUGUGAUUUCAGAUCCUUUGCCAUUCAGGAAAAGCAUUAUUAUGUUAUAUAUCACUUCCCAAGACCAAGUUAACAUCUCAGCAUUAUUUUCUUACAGUUUUACUAUCUUCCACCUAUGAAAGUUUGAAAUAAUUGCCUCCUAUUAAAUAGUCUUUCCCGAAGCUUUUUAUUCAUCAGAAAGAAGACUCCAUUUAGUUACCACCUUCAGAGAAAGCAAAUUACACGUUAGUAAUUUUUGUUCUUGGAAUAUUUAUCCCCAAUAGAGCUUUACUCAUCCUUUCUUGAUCUCAGUCAAAUUUUCAUUCCAUUUAAGUUCUCUCCCUUCCCCCUCUAAAAUGGA